UUUCAAAGGCGAAGUGUACGGCAUGUGUGAUAGGUAGUCACAACUCCCAGAAAUCUAACACCGUAAGGUUCAUAGCCAAAUUUUAGUUUUUUUCAAUUUACUUAUAUAGAGUGUUCCGUGCAACUACAUUUCUAGAACUUGCAUUGUUUCUUUAUUGUUGAUUGAUCUUUGUCAUAUACACACUGAGGCAAAAGUGCUUGGUCCUGUGAGCCUUUUGAAGCCUACCCUGAUUCUAAUUGAAAUUUAUCCUUUUUGAAAGCCAAAUUGAACCGGUAUGUUUAGAUCUUUUUGUUCGGUGACAAACUACAU
This 309-nucleotide long non-coding RNA is filed under the name Medicago truncatula (barrel medic). Its description in RNAcentral is "long non-coding RNA (MTRU_LNC006457)". The record is from RNAcentral. Lineage: Eukaryota; Viridiplantae; Streptophyta; Magnoliopsida; Fabales; Fabaceae.